RNAcentral lists this ribosomal RNA (449 nucleotides) under uncultured prokaryote. RNAcentral's name for it is "bacterial SSU rRNA". It matches the Rfam family "Bacterial small subunit ribosomal RNA", at positions 355 to 796 of the family's 1533-position model. The record is from RNAcentral.
UGGGGAAUAUUGGACAAUGGGGGAAACCCUGAUCCAGCAACGCCGCGUGGAGGAAGAAGGUCUUCGGAUCGUAAACUCCUGUCAGGUGGGACGAACGUACGUUGGCGAAUAGCCAGCGUGCUUGACGGUACCGCCAGAGGAAGCCCCGGCUAACUCCGUGCCAGCAGCCGCGGUAAUACGGAGGGGGCUAGCGUUAUUCGGAAUUAUUGGGCGUAAAGGGCGCGUAGGCGGCUUUGCGUGUCAAAGGUGAAAUCCCUCGGCUCAACCGAGGAACUGCCUUUGAAACUGCAUUGCUUGAGGCCGGGAGGGGCCAGUGGAAUUCCCAGUGUAGCGGUGAAAUGCGUAGAUAUUGGGAGGAACACCAGUGGCGAAGGCGACUGGCUGGACCGGUUCUGACGCUGAUGCGCGAAAGCGUGGGGAGCAAACAGGAUUAGAUACCCCCGUAGUCC